GACGAACGCUGGCGGCGUGCUUAACACAUGCAAGUCGAACGGAAAGGCCCUGCUUUUGUGGGGUGCUCGAGUGGCGAACGGGUGAGUAACACGUGAGUAACCUGCCCUUGACUUUGGGAUAACUUCAGGAAACUGGGGCUAAUACCGGAUAGGAGCUCCUGCUGCAUGGUGGGGGUUGGAAAGUUUCGGCGGUUGGGGAUGGACUCGCGGCUUAUCAGCUUGUUGGUGGGGUAGUGGCUUACCAAGGCUUUGACGGGUAGCCGGCCUGAGAGGGUGACCGGCCACAUUGGGACUGAGAUACGGCCCAGACUCCUACGGGAGGCAGCAGUGGGGAAUAUUGCACAACGGGCGGAAGCCUGAUGCAGCAACGCCGCGUGCGGGAUGACGGCCUUCGGGUUGUAAACCGCUUUCGCCUGUGACGAAGCGUGAGUGACGGUAAUGGGUAAAGAAGCACCGGCUAACUACGUGC
Molecule: ribosomal RNA, 469 nt
Filed under: uncultured bacterium
Lineage: Bacteria
Description: partial 16S ribosomal RNA
Rfam family: Bacterial small subunit ribosomal RNA
Source: RNAcentral